GACGAACGCUGGCGGCGUGCUUAACACAUGCAAGUCGAACGGAAAGGCCCUGCGGGGUUGUCGUGUGGGGAAGGGGAGCGUGUGACUAACACGAUAUUAACUGGACUUUGAGUUAAGGAUGGGUUAAGGGAACUGAUACUAAUACGGGCUAGGAGCUCCUGCGUGAGGGGGGGAGAGGGAAUGCUUGGGCGGUUGGGGAUGGGGUCGCGGCUUAUCAGCUUGUUGGUGGGGUAGUGGCUUACCAAGGCUUGGACGGGUAGCCGGCCUGAGAGGGUGACCGGCCACAUUGGGACUGAGAUACGGCCCAGACUCCUACGGGAGGCAGCAGUGGGGAAUAUUGCACAAUGGGCGGAAGCCUGAUGCAGCAACGCCGCGUGAGGGAUGACGGCCUUCGGGUUGUAAACCUCUUUCGCUAGGGACGAAGCGCGAGUGACGGUACUUGGAGAAGAAGCACCGGCUAACUACGUG
This 468-nucleotide ribosomal RNA is filed under the name uncultured bacterium. RNAcentral describes it as "partial 16S ribosomal RNA". It matches the Rfam family "Bacterial small subunit ribosomal RNA", at positions 28 to 507 of the family's 1533-position model. The record is from RNAcentral.